RNAcentral lists this transfer RNA (67 nucleotides) under Tetraphalerus bruchi. Its description in RNAcentral is "tRNA-Arg". Lineage: Eukaryota; Metazoa; Arthropoda; Insecta; Coleoptera; Ommatidae. The record is from RNAcentral.
AAAUAAGAAGCAACUCAUGCAAUUAGUUUCGACCUAAAAGAAGAUGAUUAACAAUCAUCCUUAUUUA